GCCAUUUUUUCUCCUCUGAGGAUUUCGGAAGGAUGCUACUUAAAACAAAACUUGGCGAUGUCCAAAAGUUUGUAAGAAUAACAGAGCUUAAUCUUACGGAGUUUCUGAAUGCAGCAUUUGCAAAGUUUGGUGUCCCACCUGUAACAGAAGGUGUGAACGUUUUGACAGUUCUGGGACAGAGGUGGAUGAGGAUGUUUUUGAGGAUAUAGUAAAUGAUCCCUCAACUGGGGUGUUAAUCAUCAAAUUUGAUACAGAGUCUAUCUCCACUGUGGCUUCUCCAUUAAAACCGGCUAUUAACACCUUCCACCUAACCCUGGGUGGUAUUUAAUGUUGUUGCUAGUACAUGAAUACAGCAUUUCACCAACCUCAAGAUCUUCAGAUUGCCGUUGGAAAUGCGUAU
Molecule: long non-coding RNA, 400 nt
Organism: Alosa alosa (allis shad)
Lineage: Eukaryota; Metazoa; Chordata; Actinopteri; Clupeiformes; Clupeidae
Exons: 5
Source: RefSeq, a predicted model, not a curated record